RNAcentral lists this ribosomal RNA (263 nucleotides) under uncultured bacterium. RNAcentral describes it as "partial 16S ribosomal RNA". It matches the Rfam family "Bacterial small subunit ribosomal RNA", at positions 524 to 786 of the family's 1533-position model. The record is from RNAcentral.
CACGUAGGGGGCAAGCGUUGUCCGGAAUUACUGGGCGUAAAGGGCGUGUAGGCGGCCAUGUAUGUCAGGUGUGAAAGGCCUCGGCUUAACCGAGGCAUUGCACAUGAAACUGUAUGGCUUGAGUGCAGGAGAGGGGAGUGGAAUUCCUAGUGUAGCGGUGAAAUGCGUAGAUAUUAGGAGGAACACCAGUGGCGAAGGCGACUUCCUGGACUGUAACUGACGCUGAGGCGCGAAAGCGUGGGUAGCAAACAGGAUUAGAUACC